CCUGCGGAGGGAUCAUUACCGAGUUUACAACUCCCAAACCCCUGUGAACAUACCUUAAUGUUGCCUCGGCGGAUCAGCCCGCGCCCCGUAAAACGGGACGGCCCGCCAGAGGACCCAAACUCUAAUGUUUCUUAUUGUAACUUCUGAGUAAAACAAACAAAUAAAUCAAAACUUUCAACAACGGAUCUCUUGGUUCUGGCAUCGAUGAAGAACGCAGCAAAAUGCGAUAAGUAAUGUGAAUUGCAGAAUUCAGUGAAUCAUCGAAUCUUUGAACGCACAUUGCGCCCGCUGGUAUUCCGGCGGGCAUGCCUGUUCGAGCGUCAUUUCAACCCUCAAGCCCCCGGGUUUGGUGUUGGGGAUCGGCUCUGCCUUACGGCGGUGCCGCCCCCGAAAUACAUUGGCGGUCUCGCUGCAGCCUCCAUUGCGUAGUAGCUAACACCUCGCAACUGGAACGCGGCGCGGCCAUGCCGUAAAACCCCAACUUCUGAAUGUUGACCUCGGAUCAGGUAGGAAUACCCGCUGAACUUAA
Molecule: ribosomal RNA, 529 nt
Filed under: Fusarium avenaceum
Lineage: Eukaryota; Fungi; Ascomycota; Sordariomycetes; Hypocreales; Nectriaceae
Description: eukaryotic LSU rRNA
Rfam family: 5.8S ribosomal RNA (bases 170-323)
Source: RNAcentral